UACGAGGGGGCUAGCGUUGUUCGGAUUUCCUGGGCGUAAAGCGCACGUAGGCGGAUUGUUAAGUCAGGGGUGAAAUCCUGGAGCUCAACUCCAGAACUGCCUUUGAUACUGGCAAUCUAGAGUCCGGAAGAGGUGAGUGGAACUCCUAGUGUAGAGGUGGAAUUCGUAGAUAUUAGGAAGAACACCAGUGGCGAAGGCGGCUCACUGGUCCGGUACUGACGCUGAGGUGCGAAAGCGUGGGGAGCAAACAGG
This 252-nucleotide ribosomal RNA is filed under the name uncultured bacterium. RNAcentral's name for it is "partial 16S ribosomal RNA". It matches the Rfam family "Bacterial small subunit ribosomal RNA", at positions 524 to 776 of the family's 1533-position model. The record is from RNAcentral.